GGUAUCUAGUUUUAAAAAUAUGUUAGGUGACCCGGUCAACCAACCAAGAUGGCCGCCAUGGCUAAAAAUAAAACAUAGGGGUAAAAUGCAGUUUUAGGCUUAUAACUCAAAAAACCAAAGUAUUUAGAGCAAAUCUGACUGGGGUAAACUUGUUUAUCAGGUGAAGAUCUAUCUGCCCUGAAAUUUUCAGAUAAAUCGGACAACC
RNAcentral lists this long non-coding RNA (205 nucleotides) under Mytilus galloprovincialis (Mediterranean mussel). Lineage: Eukaryota; Metazoa; Mollusca; Bivalvia; Mytilida; Mytilidae. The record is from RNAcentral.